UUGCAUUCAAAUGGAACUUUAUUGGUUUGUUCAAGCGUGCCCAUAUUACUUUUCAAGUAUGCUAAAUCAUUUUAAGAUCUUAGUAACUAUGACCACGCUAAAUUAUUUUAAGAUCUUAGUAACUCUGACCAUCUGGAGCCAGGACUUUGGGAUGCAACUUAUUGGGAAUGCUUGCUCGAGCUGAAUUACUUGACUUUCGUUUCAUGUAAAACUCUUUAGAUAUGUUAAGAUAUAUGGAAAAAUACACCCUUCAAUGUUAACCUUUAG
RNAcentral lists this long non-coding RNA (267 nucleotides) under Brassica rapa (field mustard). RNAcentral's name for it is "long non-coding RNA (BRAP_LNC005194)". Lineage: Eukaryota; Viridiplantae; Streptophyta; Magnoliopsida; Brassicales; Brassicaceae. The record is from RNAcentral.